Molecule: non-coding RNA, 22 nt
Filed under: Arabidopsis thaliana (thale cress)
Lineage: Eukaryota; Viridiplantae; Streptophyta; Magnoliopsida; Brassicales; Brassicaceae
Source: RNAcentral
UGAAUAUUGUUUUGAAUGUGUU